GAUGAACGCUGGCUACAGGCUUAACACAUGCAAGUCGAGGGGCAGCAUGCCGGUUGCUUGCAACCGGUGAUGGCGACCGGCGCACGGGUGAGUAACGCGUAUCCAACCUUCCCGCGACCAAGGGAUAACCUGCCGAAAGGCAGACUAAUACCUUAUGUCCUCCUUUGAAGGCAUCUGACGAGGAGCAAAGAUCCGUCGGUCACGGAUGGGGAUGCGUCCGAUUAGCUUGUUGGCGGGGCAACGGCCCACCAAGGCUUCGAUCGGUAGGGGUUCUUAGAGGAAGGCCCCCCACACUGGAACUGAGACACGGUCCAGACUCCUACGGGAGGCAGCAGUGAGGAAUAUUGGUCAAUGGGCGGAAGCCUGAACCAGCCAAGUAGCGUGCAGGAUGACGGCCUUACGGGUUGUAAAAUGCUUUUAU
Molecule: ribosomal RNA, 421 nt
Filed under: Segatella buccae
Lineage: Bacteria; Pseudomonadati; Bacteroidota; Bacteroidia; Bacteroidales; Prevotellaceae
Description: bacterial SSU rRNA
Rfam family: Bacterial small subunit ribosomal RNA
Source: RNAcentral